This is a long non-coding RNA of Cephus cinctus (wheat stem sawfly), 669 nucleotides long. RefSeq lists it as uncharacterized. NCBI's taxonomy places the organism in Eukaryota, Metazoa, Arthropoda, Insecta, Hymenoptera, Cephidae. The transcript has 4 exons. The record is from RefSeq and is a predicted model, not a curated record.
UCUCUCGACUUGCUCUCUCUUUCUAUUCCCGGUUCCAUUUUCUGCGUCAACAGUGAACAGUCCAGUACUAGAUGUCGACGAGGAUUGGAUGAUACGCAGUAAAGUGACGCGUCGUAGGAAAUUUCAGUAAUUCGCGAAUGUCUUUGCUUUCGCACCGCUUUGUCUGUUGAACGCAGCCAAUGCGCUCGUUACACAACGUCGUAGAUGAUAACGUGCGCGCGUCGAGGACAGGUUCGAGAUGCUUCAGCAGUCUCAUGGCGGCGUAGUAUAGCUCGGUACGCAGUAAAGUGACGCGUCGUCGGAAAUUUCAGUAAUUCGCGAGUGAGUUUUGAAAAAUACGGUGUAAAUUCACAUUUUAAUUACUUAAUCCGAUAAAAAAACUUCGUAAUGGUGUUCGAGCUUGCUAUGCUUUGGGAUGUCCUUCCGAGGCUAAUAUGACGAUUCAAGUUUCCGAAAAAUCCUGACCAGAGAAGGACGGCAUGGUCACCAAAAAUUGGCGAUGAUAUAUUAAAAAAUACUGCAUCAGAAAAGUACACAGAAACUUCCUAAUGGUGUUGGAGUUUGCUAUGUUUUGGGAUGCUCUUCCGGGGUUAAUAUGCCCAGUCCUAAGUGUUCGAAAAAUCCUGAACAGAAAUUGACCAGAAAAAAAGGGUCACCAAAAAUUGACGA